Molecule: ribosomal RNA, 446 nt
Filed under: uncultured bacterium
Lineage: Bacteria
Description: partial 16S ribosomal RNA
Rfam family: Bacterial small subunit ribosomal RNA
Source: RNAcentral
CCUACGGGGGGCAGCAGUCGAGAAUCAUUCACAAUGGGGGAAACCCUGAUGGUGCGACGCCGCGUGGGGGAAUGAAGGUCUUCGGAUUGUAAACCCCUGUCAUGUGGGAGCAAAUUAAAAAGAUAGUACCACAAGAGGAAGAGACGGCUAACUCUGUGCCAGCAGCCGCGGUAAUACAGAGGUCUCAAGCGUUGUUCGGAAUCACUGGGCGUAAAGCGUGCGUAGGCUGUGUCGUAAGUCGUGUGUGAAAGGCGCGGGCUCAACCCGCGGACGGCACAUGAUACUGCGAGACUAGAGUAAGGGAGGGGGAACCGGAAUUCUCGGUGUAGCAGUGAAAUGCGUAGAUAUCGAGAGGAACACUCGUGGCGAAGGCGGGUUCCUGGACAGUAACUGACGCUGAGGCACGAAGGCUAGGGGAGCGAAAGGGAUUAGAUACCCUUGUAGUC